UGCAAGUCGAACGAUGAAGCCCUUCGGGGUGGAUUAGUGGCGAACGGGUGAGUAACACGUGGGCAAUCUGCCCUUCACUCUGGGACAAGCCCUGGAAACGGGGUCUAAUACCGGAUAACACUCUGUCCCGCAUGGGACGGGGUUGAAAGCUCCGGCGGUGAAGGAUGAGCCCGCGGCCUAUCAGCUUGUUGGUGGGGUGAUGGCCUACCAAGGCGACGACGGGUAGCCGGCCUGAGAGGGCGACCGGCCACACUGGGACUGAGACACGGCCCAGACUCCUACGGGAGGCAGCAGUGGGGAAUAUUGCACAAUGGGCGAAAGCCUGAUGCAGCGACGCCGCGUGAGGGAUGACGGCCUUCGGGUUGUAAACCUCUUUCAGCAGGGAAGAAGCGAAAGUGACGGUACCUGCAGAAGAAGCGCCGGCUAACUACGUGCCAGCAGCCGCGGUAAUACGUAGGGCGCAAGCGUUGUCCGGAAUUAUUGGGCGUAAAGAGCUCGUAGGCGGCUUGUCACGUCGGAUGUGAAAGCCCGGGGCUUAACCCCGGGUCUGCAUUCGAUACGGGCUAGCUAGAGUGUGGUAGGGGAGAUCGGAAUUCCUGGUGUAG
RNAcentral lists this ribosomal RNA (605 nucleotides) under Actinomycetales bacterium A253. RNAcentral describes it as "bacterial SSU rRNA". It matches the Rfam family "Bacterial small subunit ribosomal RNA", at positions 56 to 678 of the family's 1533-position model. Lineage: Bacteria; Bacillati; Actinomycetota; Actinomycetes; Actinomycetales. The record is from RNAcentral.